Molecule: long non-coding RNA, 1910 nt
Filed under: Olea europaea subsp. europaea
Lineage: Eukaryota; Viridiplantae; Streptophyta; Magnoliopsida; Lamiales; Oleaceae
Source: RNAcentral
AUUCUGUUGCACAAAAGUUUCAACUCAGCGGUUGUUGAAGCAGGGGGAUAUGAAAACAUGACGUGUGUGGAAAGGGACUGUCACAAUUAUAUUGAGCAGGUGAGACGAUUACAACUAGGGGAGGGAGAUGCAACCGCAAUACAGUGUUAUUUUUAAAAAAUGCAAGCACAAUGUUAGGGUUUUUAUUUCAGUAUUGAUGUGGAUGAUGAGUCUCGCCUGAAAAAUGUGUUUUGGUCUGAUAAUAGCUGUAGGCAAGCUUACAUGGAGUUUGGUGACGUAGUCACAUUUGACACCACUUAUCUGACGAAUAAGUAUGACAUGCCGUUCGCGCCCUUUGUUGGUGUGAAUCAUCACGGUCAAUCAACAUUGUUCGGUUGUGGGUUGUUAUUAAACGAGGACACAUAUACAUUUGUCUAGCUAUUUAGAACGUGGCUUCAGUGCAUGCACGGUAGAGCCCCCCAUGGAAUAAUUAUUGAUCAAGAUAGGGCUAUGCAAAAUGCUAUUGAGAUCGUGUUCCCAGAUACCAGGCAUAGGUGGUGUCUAUGGCACAUUUUGAAAAAGUUGUCGGACAAGUUCGGAUACCAUGUAAAUAAGGCUGCAAUAUUUUCGAUGAUACAUCAGUUGGUAUAUGAUUCAUAGAAUAUAUAAGAAUUUGAAUCAACUUGGAAACAGAUGAUUGAGAAAUAUGACUUGAUGGAUAACGAAUGGUUGUCGGGGUUAUAUGUUAAUAGAGCUCGUUGGGUUCCUUGCUUUUUGAAAACCACGUUUUGGGUAGAGAUGUCCAUAACUCAACGCAGCGAGAGUAUGAAUGCAUUUUUCGAUGGUUAUGUCCAUUCUAAGAUCUCGCUGAAGCAAUUUGUAGAACAGUACGAACGAGCGCUCAGGGAUAAGGUCGAAAAGGAGUUUCAGGCAGAUCUUAGGUCAUACUCACAAACUAUAACGUGUGCAACAAACUACGAAAUCGAAAAGCAUUUUCAGUAGGUUUAUACCAUUUCCAAGUUCAGGGAAGUCUAGGAUGAAUUCAAGGGUAAGGUAUACUGUGAUCUCAUAUCUGCUUCUGAGGGACCUCAUGGGACCACGUAUGCGGUGCGUGAGGACGUCCUUUAUGGUGAGCAGAGGAAGAAGAAAAUGUUCUCUGUCUCAUUCCAGAGAGAGACAGCUGAAUUCGUAUGCAGUUGUCACUUGUUCGAGUUCCGAGGUAUUGUUUGCAGACAUGCGAUCGUGAUAUUGAUUCGUAAUGACGUCACGCAGUUGUCCGAGCAUUAUACACUACGGCGGUGGAGGAGGGACGUUAGCAGGAGUUACACAAGGGUUGCGGUGAAUUAUGAUGGUCAGGUCAAUUUUCCUAGAGAGUUGAGGUAUGAUAGUAUGUGCAAAGCUUUUGCAGAGGUAGCUGACCUUGCGGCAGAGGACCAGGGCCGGACACGUGCAAUAUUAGACUGGAUAAAAUUGCAAGCAAAGGAGCUUAUGACAAGAAAUUCCUGUGAUGCAAGCAAUAGCGUGAUGCAACAAACUAUACCGUUAUCCUCUCAGUAUACGCCAUCCCAAACUACUAUGAACGACGUCAUACUAGACCCAAACGUUGCAAAGAGGAAGGGAGCACCCCGAAGACUUUGAAAAAAAAAGUCCGUUAGAGUUGAUGUCCAAGAAACCAUGGGUUUGUUCAUCGUUUUCCAUCACUAUUUGUCAAAAGUUGUGAAUUUGUAUUGCAAUUUAAUUAUCUUUUGCAUGUAGGCAUCUUCGACAUCAAGCAAAGGAAAGAGACCAAGACCAAGGUACGGUAAUGAGGAAAAGGUUGCAUCUGAAUUUGUAGCUUCGCAAGAACAAUACUCGUCACAGACACCGUUCUCCUAUUCACAACUAUUGCUGGUAAGUAUCGUCAUAUAGUUCAACUAUUUGUUGUAGGUGUU